This 306-nucleotide ribosomal RNA is filed under the name uncultured bacterium. RNAcentral describes it as "partial 16S ribosomal RNA". It matches the Rfam family "Bacterial small subunit ribosomal RNA", at positions 507 to 807 of the family's 1533-position model. The record is from RNAcentral.
GACAGCAGUAGCCGCGGGAAAACAGAGGGUGCGAGCGUUAAUCGGAUUUACUGGGCGUAAAGCGUGCGUAGGCGGCUUCUUAAGUCGGAUGUGAAAUCCCUGAGCUUAACUUAGGAAUUGCAUUCGAUACUGGGAAGCUAGAGUAUGGGAGAGGAUGGUAGAAUUCCAGGUGUAGCGGUGAAAUGCGUAGAGAUCUGGAGGAAUACCGAUGGCGAAGGCAGCCAUCUGGCCUAAUACUGACGCUGAGGUACGAAAGCAUGGGGAGCAAACAGGAUUAGAUACCCGAGUAGUCCCUGUCUCUUAUAC